GAUGAACGCUGGCGGCGUGCCUAAUACAUGCAAGUCGAGCGAACAGACGAGGAGCUUGCUCCUCUGACGUUAGCGGCGGACGGGUGAGUAACACGUGGAUAACCUACCUAUAAGACUGGGAUAACUUCGGGAAACCGUAGCUAAUACCGGAUAAUAUAUUGAACCGCAUGGUUCAAUAGUGAAAGACGGUUUUGCUGUCACUUAUAGAUGGAUCCGCACCGCAUUAGCUAGUUGGUAAGGUAACGGCUUACCAAGGCAACGAUGCGUAGCCGACCUGAGAGGGUGAUCGGCCACACUGGAACUGAGACACGGUCCAGACUCCUAAGGGAGGCAGCAGUAGGGAAUCUUGCGCAAUGGGCGAAAGCCUGACGGAGCAAAGCCGCGUGAGUGAUGAAGGUCUUCGGAUCGUAAAACUCUGUUAUUAGGGAAGAACAAAUGUGUAAGUAAAUAUGCACGUCUUGACGGUACCUAAUCAGAAAGCCACGGCUAACUACGUG
This 497-nucleotide ribosomal RNA is filed under the name uncultured bacterium. Its description in RNAcentral is "partial 16S ribosomal RNA". It matches the Rfam family "Bacterial small subunit ribosomal RNA", at positions 28 to 507 of the family's 1533-position model. The record is from RNAcentral.